This is a non-coding RNA of Leptonychotes weddellii (Weddell seal), 214 nucleotides long. Lineage: Eukaryota; Metazoa; Chordata; Mammalia; Carnivora; Phocidae. The record is from RefSeq and is a predicted model, not a curated record.
CUGAAGGAAAGGUGUAUCAAAAAAGGUUGCUGGAUGGUGUGAAGACUCUUAAAAGAGGAAAGGUUGAUAUGAAUAGCCUGGACACAUUUCUGGAAAAUAUGGGGAUUAAGCUCUCACAUAAAGAACUUGAAGAUUUUUCGCAAAACCUACCAGUUGAUGUUGAUGGGAAGGUUGAUCUGGAAAAUGUGACACUGAAAAUGAAAGAUUUUACAGG